This 253-nucleotide ribosomal RNA is filed under the name uncultured bacterium. RNAcentral describes it as "partial 16S ribosomal RNA". It matches the Rfam family "Bacterial small subunit ribosomal RNA", at positions 524 to 776 of the family's 1533-position model. The record is from RNAcentral.
UACGUAGGGUGCGAGCGUUAAUCGGAAUUACUGGGCGUAAAGCGUGCGCAGGCGGUUGGCCGUGUCCGACGUGAAAGCCCCGGGCUUAACCUGGGAAUGGCAUUGGAAACUGGCUGGCUGGAGUGUGGCAGAGGGGGGUGGAAUUCCACGUGUAGCAGUGAAAUGCGUAGAGAUGUGGAGGAACACCGAUGGCGAAGGCAGCCCCCUGGGCCAACACUGACGCUCAGGCACGAAAGCGUGGGGAGCAAACAGG